AUGAUCAGAGGAGCUGGGCUCCUUGCGAGCUCAACCUAUUCUCAAACUUUCAAUGGGUGAGACGUCUCGCUGGCUUCAAUGCAGCGACGACUCUGAAUCCGAGUGCCCAGUGGGCCACUUUUGGUAAGCAGAACUGGCGAUGCGGGAUGAACCGCAUGUCGAGUUAAGGUGCCUAAGCGGACGCAAAUCAGAUACCAUGAAAGGUGUUGAUUGCUCACGACAGCAGGACGGUGGCCAUGGAAGUCGGCAUCCGCUAAGGAGUGUGUAACAACUCACCUGCCGAAGCAAUCAGCCCUGAAAAUGGAUGGCGCUAAAGCGUUCCACCGAUACUCGACCGUCGUCGGCACGCGACCGGCCUUCCCAGUGCCGGUCUCAGGCCACGACGAGUAGGGCGGCGCGGCGGUGAGCGUCGAAGGCGUAGCCGUGAGGCUAGCUGGAGCCGCCGUCGGUGCAGAUCUUGGUGGUAGUAGCAAAUACACAAGCAAGAUCCUUGUGGACCGAUGUGGAGAAGGGUUCCGCGCGAACAGUACUUGGACGUGGGUGAGUCGGCCCUAAGCCAACGGGUAAUUCCCGCAUCCCGC
RNAcentral lists this ribosomal RNA (581 nucleotides) under Chelonibia testudinaria. Its description in RNAcentral is "eukaryotic LSU rRNA". It matches the Rfam family "Eukaryotic large subunit ribosomal RNA", at positions 1017 to 1574 of the family's 3401-position model. The record is from RNAcentral. RNAcentral also lists the same sequence under 1 other name. Lineage: Eukaryota; Metazoa; Arthropoda; Thecostraca; Balanomorpha; Chelonibiidae.